RNAcentral lists this ribosomal RNA (780 nucleotides) under uncultured bacterium. RNAcentral's name for it is "bacterial SSU rRNA". It matches the Rfam family "Bacterial small subunit ribosomal RNA", at positions 61 to 800 of the family's 1533-position model. The record is from RNAcentral.
GUCGAGCGAGCUUGCCUAGAUGAUUUUAGUGCUUGCACUAAAUGAAACUAGAUACAAGCGAGCGGCGGACGGGUGAGUAACACGUGGGUAACCUGCCCAAGAGACUGGGAUAACACCUGGAAACAGAUGCUAAUACCGGAUAACAACACUAGACGCAUGUCUAGAGUUUGAAAGAUGGUUCUGCUAUCACUCUUGGAUGGACCUGCGGUGCAUUAGCUAGUUGGUAAGGUAACGGCUUACCAAGGCAAUGAUGCAUAGCCGAGUUGAGAGACUGAUCGGCCACAUUGGGACUGAGACACGGCCCAAACUCCUACGGGAGGCAGCAGUAGGGAAUCUUCCACAAUGGACGAAAGUCUGAUGGAGCAACGCCGCGUGAGUGAAGAAGGGUUUCGGCUCGUAAAGCUCUGUUGGUAGUGAAGAAAGAUAGAGGUAGUAACUGGCCUUUAUUUGACGGUAAUUACUUAGAAAGUCACGGCUAACUACGUGCCAGCAGCCGCGGUAAUACGUAGGUGGCAAGCGUUGUCCGGAUUUAUUGGGCGUAAAGCGAGUGCAGGCGGUUCAAUAAGUCUGAUGUGAAAGCCUUCGGCUCAACCGGAGAAUUGCAUCAGAAACUGUUGAACUUGAGUGCAGAAGAGGAGAGUGGAACUCCAUGUGUAGCGGUGGAAUGCGUAGAUAUAUGGAAGAACACCAGUGGCGAAGGCGGCUCUCUGGUCUGCAACUGACGCUGAGGCUCGAAAAGCAUGGGUAGCGAACAGGAUUAGAUACCCUGGUAGUCCAUGC